CAGGCUUAACACAUGCAAGUCGAGGGGCAGCAUGGUCUUAGCUUGCUAAGGCCGAUGGCGACCGGCGCACGGGUGAGUAACACGUAUCCAACCUGCCGUCUACUCUUGGACAGCCUUCUGAAAGGAAGAUUAAUACAAGAUGGCAUCAUGAGUCCGCAUGUUCACAUGAUUAAAGGUAUUCCGGUAGACGAUGGGGAUGCGUUCCAUUAGAUAGUAGGCGGGGUAACGGCCCACCUAGUCUUCGAUGGAUAGGGGUUCUGAGAGGAAGGUCCCCCACAUUGGAACUGAGACACGGUCCAAACUCCUACGGGAGGCAGCAGUGAGGAAUAUUGGUCAAUGGGCGAGAGCCUGAACCAGCCAAGUAGCGUGAAGGAUGACUGCCCUAUGGGUUGUAAACUUCUUUUAUAAAGGAAUAAAGUCGGGUAUGGAUACCCGUUUGCAUGUACUUUAUGAAUAAGGAUCGGCUAACUCCGUGCCAGCAGCCGCGGUAAUACGGAGGAUCCGAGCGUUAUCCGGAUUUAUUGGGUUUAAAGGGAGCGUAGAUGGAUGUUUAAGUCAGUUGUGAAAGUUUGCGGCUCAACCGUAAAAUUGCAGUUGAUACUGGAUAUCUUGAGUGCAGUUGAGGCAGGCGGAAUUCGUGGUGUAGCGGUGAAAUGCUUAGAUAUCACGAAGAACUCCGAUUGCGACGGCAGCCUGCUAAGCUGCAACUGACAUUGAGGCUCGAAAGUGUGGGUAUCAAACAGGAUUAGAUACCCUGGUAGUCCACACGGUAAACGAUGAAUACUCGCUGUUUGCGAUAUACAGCAAGCGGCCAAGCGAAAGCGUUAAGUAUUCCACCUGGGGAGUACGCCGGCAACGGUGAAACUCAAAGGAAUUGACGGGGGCCCGCACAAGCGGAGGAACAUGUGGUUUAAUUCGACGAUACGCGAGGAACCUUACCCGGGCUUAAAUUGCAGAUGAAUUACGGUGAAAGCCGUAAGCCGCAAGGCAUCUGUGAAGGUGCUGCAUGGUUGUCGUCAGCUCGUGCCGUGAGGUGUCGGCUUAAGUGCCAUAACGAGCGCAACCCUUGUUGUCAGUUACUAACAGGUUCCGCUGAGGACUCUGACAAGACUGCCAUCGUAAGAUGUGAGGAAGGUGGGGAUGACGUCAAAUCAGCACGGCCCUUACGUCCGGGGCUACACACGUGUUACAAUGGGGGGUACAGAGGGCCGCUACCACGCGAGUGGAUGCCAAUCCCCAAAACCUCUCUCAGUUCGGACUGGAGUCUGCAACCCGACUCCACGAAGCUGGAUUCGCUAGUAAUCGCGCAUCAGCCACGGCGCGGUGAAUACGUUCCCGGGCCUUGUACACACCGCCCGUCAAGCCAUGGGAGCCGGGGGUACCUGAAGUGCGUAACCGCGAGGAGCGCCCUAGGGUAAAACUGGUGACUGGGGCUAAAU
RNAcentral lists this ribosomal RNA (1439 nucleotides) under uncultured organism. RNAcentral's name for it is "SSU rRNA". It matches the Rfam family "Bacterial small subunit ribosomal RNA". The record is from RNAcentral.